GAACUCAGGGCCUGGGCCAUGCCAGACAAGUGCUCACCGCUGAGCUGCACCCCAGCCCCUGUGUGUCUGGCACAUCCACAGGCCUGGCAUGGGGCGGCAGAGGGAAGAACCUGGAAAAAAACCUUCUAUGCUGAAAAGCGCAUGCGCCGAACUCCGCGGUCAGUCCCAGCCCCACCACCAUCGUUCUGUCACCUGAAUGAUGUCAUCAUUCUAGGGACCAGAGAAGAUCAGUUGGGAGGGUUGGCUCUUCGGUUGAGGGUCUCUCUGCUAUAUAAUCCAGGAUGGCCUCAUACGCGUGAUCCUCCUGCUUCAGCCUCCCAAUAGCUGUGAUUACAGUUGAAGAAACAGAAGCUCAGAGAUGUGAAGCCACUUGUGUGAGGACACCUAGCUGUGAAGGGGAGGAUCUGGAAUUUGAACUCGUGCUUUUACAUGUCAUAGAUGCUACUUCUCACAGGGGACCGAAGGCAGCCAACUGGCCGAGGGCCUGGCCAUUGAUUUCUGUUCCCUUGGUCUCAGUCUCCCCAUCUGUUCAAGGGAAGAGUUACCGCUGCUCCUUAAAUUCCCUAAACCUGACUCACUGGGCUCUUAAGAUUGUCAGAUGAAAGAAAUACCACUACGGGACACCCGAAAAGUAAAUUUCAAUUUCCCAUAAACAGUGAAUGAUUCUUCAGUGUCCGUAUGCCC
RNAcentral lists this long non-coding RNA (684 nucleotides) under Heterocephalus glaber (naked mole-rat). Its description in RNAcentral is "lncRNA (ENSHGLG00100050674.1)". Lineage: Eukaryota; Metazoa; Chordata; Mammalia; Rodentia; Bathyergidae. The record is from RNAcentral.